RNAcentral lists this ribosomal RNA (434 nucleotides) under uncultured bacterium. RNAcentral describes it as "bacterial SSU rRNA". It matches the Rfam family "Bacterial small subunit ribosomal RNA", at positions 957 to 1391 of the family's 1533-position model. The record is from RNAcentral.
GAACGCGAAGAACCUUACCCGGGCUUGAAUUGCGGAGGAAGGAUUUAGAGAUAAUGACGCCCUUCGGGGUCUCUGUGAAGGUGCUGCAUGGUUGUCGUCAGCUCGUGCCGUGAGGUGUCGGCUUAAGUGCCAUAACGAGCGCAACCCCUCUCUUCAGUUGCCAUCAGGUUAAGCUGGGCACUCUGGAGACACUGCCACCGUAAGGUGUGAGGAAGGUGGGGAUGACGUCAAAUCAGCACGGCCCUUACGUCCGGGGCUACACACGUGUUACAAUGGCCGGUACAGAGGGACGGUGUAAUGCAAAUUGCAUCCAAUCUUGAAAGCCGGUCCCAGUUCGGACUGGGGUCUGCAACCCGACCCCACGAAGCUGGAUUCGCUAGUAAUCGCGCAUCAGCCAUGGCGCGGUGAAUACGUUCCCGGGUCUUGUACACACC